GGGCCGUGCCGGCGUCGGUGUCUCCGCGCGACCCGACGCACUUCCUCCCGCCCUCAGGACGCCGCAGCCGGUCGGGUAGCUGCGCGAGUCGGCCAUAAGGACGAGCAACGGAAGGUGGCCGGUGGCGUUCCCUCGGGUUCGCCGCCGGUCGUUAUCCAGCUCGCCCGUGGCGCGACACCCGACCGAGGUCGAAGGUCCACGCUAGGACCGUGCCGUCCCCUCCCCCGUGGUCGAGCGGGAGCGCCUGCAGGCGGAUUCCCGGUCGGUCGUCUCCACUCUCCGAGUGGGCGGCCGUCGGGCGACGCUGUUGGUGGAGUUCUUCCCGCGCGGGGUCAGGCGGCUCGCGGCGAGUAGGUCGGUCACCCACCCGACCCGUCUUGAAACACGGACCAAGGAGUCUAACAUGUGCGCGAGUCACGGGGUCUUGCUUAGGCCCAGAGGCGCAAUGAAAGUGAAGGCCGGUCCCGAGAUCGGCCGAGUUGGGACUCUCC
This 491-nucleotide ribosomal RNA is filed under the name Harpactirella lightfooti. Its description in RNAcentral is "eukaryotic LSU rRNA". Lineage: Eukaryota; Metazoa; Arthropoda; Arachnida; Araneae; Theraphosidae. The record is from RNAcentral.